CAAAUGUUUACAAACUUUAGCAAGUAUUAAAGAACAGCUUUUGCCAUUCAAAGCUGAAUUGUGGAAAAAUCACGGGAGUAAUCUGAGUGUCUGAAAAACAAAUGAAAAGCAAGAAAAUGGCCGUUCUGCUGCUGGUGAUGCUGCUCUGUGCUGGGAGCUCAAUUGCUCAAGAUUUGUUGAUACGAACUGUGAACAUUAUUGCUGAGCUCGAGAAGCUAAAUCACGUGGAUGAAAGGAUACAAAAACUAGAAGAAACACUGACCAAAGUAUUGAGUGAGAUUGAAGGCAAAAAGGUUGCUUUCUCAGCUGGACUUCUGGCUUCUGAAAAGGCCCAAAUUGGGCCCUUUGCUGAUACCAGAAUUCUGGAAUACAAAAAAGUCUUUAGUAAUGUUGGAAAUGCCUAUGACUCAAAUACUGGUAUUUUCACAGCACCAGUAAAAGGAGUCUAUUACUUCAGAUUUUACGGUCAUUGUCAUGGUGGAACCACAAUGGCGGUCAAUCUCUUGAAGAAUGGUGAAAGCCAGUGCUCUGUGUAUUCUGCGCUCCCAGCUAGCAGUGGUAAUGCCAGCAAUGGUGUCGUUCUCACACUGGAGAUCGGUGAUCAGAUUUAUACACAACUUUGGAGGAACAGCUGGGUUUAUGAUGAUGCAGGAAGUUUCACUAGCUUCACUGGCUUUCUGAUUUUCCCCUUGUGAGCGUCUGAAUCUUAUCCUAUCCAGUUCCAGAUAAUUGUUCCUGUGUAAGUGAACUGUAUCUGAGUAAAUAAGAGCAAAUAGGAACAACAAAAGGGAGAUCAUUGUGUAUGCUUCUUAGUUACGAUAUGUUUAAGUCUGGAGUACUUCUUUCUUAAGUCUGAAAAUAAACCAAACAUGUCACCAAAA
This is a long non-coding RNA of Ctenopharyngodon idella (grass carp), 881 nucleotides long. RefSeq lists it as uncharacterized. NCBI's taxonomy places the organism in Eukaryota, Metazoa, Chordata, Actinopteri, Cypriniformes, Xenocyprididae. The transcript is spliced from 3 exons. The record is from RefSeq and is a predicted model, not a curated record.